This 2181-nucleotide ribosomal RNA is filed under the name Triticum aestivum (bread wheat). Its description in RNAcentral is "partial small subunit ribosomal RNA". The record is from RNAcentral. Lineage: Eukaryota; Viridiplantae; Streptophyta; Magnoliopsida; Poales; Poaceae.
AUGGCGACCUCUAACAAGCCAAUAUCGUUGGCUGGGCCGUUGGACGCUGAUGUCCAGAGGACGGUGGAAUUGAACAAGUUCUUGGUUGAGGCCGGCCUAUAUGAAAGUGCCGACGAGUCUGCUAGGCGAGAGGAGGUGCUGGGGGAGCUUGACAAGAUUGUAAAAGAUUGGGUGAAACAGUUAACUAGCCAGAGAGGAUAUACUGAUCAAAUGGUCGAAGAGGCAAACGCCGUGCUUUUCACCUUUGGGUCAUACCGUCUAGGGGUCCAUGGACCUGGGGCUGACAUCGAUACUCUAUGUGUUGGACCUUCAUAUGUGAAUCGCGAGGAAGACUUCUUCAUUGUACUGCAUGACAUAUUAGCACAAAAUGAGGAAGUGACUCAAUUGCAACCUGUACCUGAUGCACAUGUACCUGUGAUGAAAUUUAAGUUCCAUGGGAUAUCCAUCGACCUUCUAUAUGCCAGUGUUUCUCUCUUAGUAGUACCAUCUGAUUUGGAUAUCUCUCAGGAAGCAGUGCUUUAUGACAUUGAUGAGGCAACUGUUCGUAGUCUUACUGGCUGCAGAGUGGCUGACCAAAUUCUUAGGCUUGUUCCGAAUAUUGAGAGCUUUCGAACAACACUAAGGUGUUUAAAGCACUGGGCAAGAAGAAGAGGUGUUUAUUCUAAUGUUACUGGUUUUCUUGGAGGUGUGAAUUGGGCUUUACUGGUUGCACGAGUCUGCCAGCUCUAUCCUAAUGCUGUGCCAAGCAUGCUGGUCUCGAGAUUCUUCAGGGUUUUUACCCAGUGGCGCUGGCCAACUCCAGUGAUGCUUUGUGCCAUUGAGGAGGAGGAACUUGGCUUUCCUGUGUGGGAUCCACGCAAAAAUCCUCGUGACAGAACACAUCAUAUGCCCAUUAUCACCCCAGCAUAUCCAUGCAUGAACUCCAGCUAUAAUGUUUCGACGAGCACCCUGAGGGUUAUGAUAGAACAAUUCCAGUUUGGCAAUAAAAUAUGCCAGGAAAUUGAGAUGAAUAAGGCUAGUUGGUCUGCCCUUUUUGAGCCUUUCAAUUUUUUUGAGGCGUAUAAAAAUUAUUUGCAAGUUGACAUCAUCGCUGAGGAUGAUGAAGAUCUCAGACUUUGGAAGGGAUGGGUGGAGUCUCGAUUGAGGCAACUGACGUUAAAGAUUGAGCGGGACACCUAUGGGAAAUUGCAAUGCCAUCCAUACCCAUAUGAGUAUGCAGACCCUUCUAGACAGUGUGCACAUUGUGCUUUCUUCAUGGGCUUAUCAAGGAAAGAAGGUGUGAAAAUACAAGAAGGUCAGCAGUUUGAUAUUCGUGGAACAGUUGAUGAGUUCAGGCAUGAGAUCAACAUGUAUAUGUUCUGGAAGCCUGGGAUGGAGUUGGCGGUUUCGCAUGUCCGGAGGAAAGAGAUUCCAGCUUAUGUGUUUCCAGAAGGAUACAAGAGACCUCGUCCUCAAAGGCAUUUGAACCAUCAGCACCACUCUGAUAAGAAUGACCCUGGAAAUGGAUCUCCAGACAGCCAGCUGAAGAGAAAGCAUGAUUCUACUGGGAUUGAUGAUACUGAACCUUGCCGGUCUGUUAAGAGGGCUUCAAUCAGUCCAGUUCACCCAAAAACUUCAUCACCUCGGUCAGGCAAUGUUAGUGAUGAGCCCAUAAGCAAUAAUCAACAAAAGGUCACUUCUAAUGCAAGUGGUGGGAGUCAGGAUUCACCUGGCAGUGGCAAUCAAGAUCAAACAAAGUGCUCAAGUUCAUCACAUGCAUCUGAGAAAAGCUUGGAUUCAGUCGCAUCAGGCUCCAAGUGUGUGAAAAUUGAAGCGGUUUGUUCUGGUGACGUGACUAGCAAGCAUGUUGAUUGUAUUUCACCUGUCAAGGACAGCACUGCUCCAACCGUAGCAGUGAGUACAACUUUAAAGCGUGUUGCCGAGAAGGUUGUUUUGGAGCUUGUUGGAAGUGAAAGCAUCGGCGGCAAUAAUGCAGAGUUACUGCAGAUUGCAGAAACAGACAUGGGAAAUGUCCUUGUUGAAAAUCUGCACUUCGGUGGGAAUGGAGUUCCUCAGAGCGGCCUCCCUGAAGAGUUAGAGCUGAACAAUGGGAUUGAAGUGCUUUCUAAAGCUCAUGCAGGUUUGAAGUCGGAUGGAUCCCAGAAGUCAUCAUUGAGAGUUAGUUUGACAUCAACAGCAUGA